This 854-nucleotide ribosomal RNA is filed under the name uncultured bacterium. RNAcentral describes it as "partial 16S ribosomal RNA". The record is from RNAcentral.
CAAUUCAUUGAGUUUUAACCUUGCGGUCGUACUCCCCAGGCGGUGUGUUUAUCGGUUUCCUGCGACACUGAAAAUAAAUUUCCAACGUCUAACACACAUCGUUUACGGCAUGGACUACGAGGGUAUCUAAUCCUCUUCGCUACCCAUGCUUUCGUUCCUCAGUGUCAGUAAUGAUCCAGAAAGCUGCCUUCGCAAUUGGUAUUCUUUCUAAUAUCUACGAAUUUCACCUCUACACUAGAAAUUCUGCUUUCCUCUAUCAUACUCUAGCUGAAAAGUUUUGAUGGCAGUUCCAGAGUUAAGCUCUGGGAUUUCACCACCAACUUUUUCAACCACCUACGAACUCUUUAAGCCCAGUAAUUCCGAACUACGCUAGGUCCCUUCGUAUUACCGCGGCUGCUGGCACGAAGUUAGCCGGACCUUCUUAUUCGGGUACAGUCAUUUUCUUCCCCGACGAAAGAGCUUUACAACCCAAAGGCCUUCUUCACUCACGCGGCAUCGCUGCAUCAGAGUUUCCUCCAUUGUGCAAGAUUCCCCACUGCUGCCUCCCGUAGGAGUUUGGGCCGUGUCUCAGUCCCAAUGUGGCUGAUCGUCCUCUCAAAUCAGCUAUUGAUCAUAGUCUUGGUAGGCCAUUACCCUACCAACAAACUAAUCAAGUGCGGGCUCAUCCAAUGGUGCAUAAAGCUUUCUCCGUAAAGACUUAUCCGGUAUUAGCACAAGUUUCCUCGUGUUAUUCCAGGCCAAAGGAUAGAUACCCACAUGUUACUCACCCGUCUGCCACUAAGUAUUGCUACUUCGUUCGACUUGCAUGUGUUAGGCGUGCCGCCAGCGUACGUUCUGAGCCAGGAUCAAACUCU